UACGGAGGAUCCGAGCGUUAUCCGGAUUUAUUGGGUUUAAAGGGUGCGUAGGCGGGAUAUUAAGUCAGUGGUGAAAGUUUGCAGCUCAACUGUAAAAUUGCCGUUGAAACUGAUAUUCUAGAGUGCAAAUGAGGUAGGCGGAAUGUGUAGUGUAGCGGUGAAAUGCUUAGAUAUUACACAGAACACCAAUUGCGAAGGCAGCUUACUAGGAUGCAACUGACGCUCAGGCACGAAAGCGUGGGGAUCAAAC
This 250-nucleotide ribosomal RNA is filed under the name uncultured bacterium. RNAcentral describes it as "partial 16S ribosomal RNA". It matches the Rfam family "Bacterial small subunit ribosomal RNA", at positions 524 to 773 of the family's 1533-position model. The record is from RNAcentral.